This is a long non-coding RNA of Nannospalax galili (Upper Galilee mountains blind mole rat), 498 nucleotides long. RefSeq lists it as uncharacterized. NCBI's taxonomy places the organism in Eukaryota, Metazoa, Chordata, Mammalia, Rodentia, Spalacidae. The transcript has 3 exons. The record is from RefSeq and is a predicted model, not a curated record.
CUGUAGCUGCCAAUGUGUGUAAUAGAUGGGAAGAUAAUUGUCUUUGCGUGAUCACCAACCUCCGCUUAGGAGGUUUAAGUACCCAGUGCCUCAAGGGCGGCACUCUGACUCCCCUCUCUCAAACCUGCUCUGAAAUCGGAGUCUCCCUGUAGUCCCAGCUGGCCCAGAACUCACUAUGUAGACCAGGCUGGCCUUGAGCUCACAGAGAUCUGCCUGCCUCUGUCUCCUGAGCACUGGGAUUAAAGGCAUGGACUGUUACAGCUGAAGUCAGGUAGGAAUUUCAUCAGGGAAACUUGUGAUGUGGAUUAAAUGCAACAGGAGAUUCACAGGAAGGAUGCCCGUUUUCAGUUCCAGCCAACAAUCAGCAGCCAGUGGCCAUACCUGCCUCCCUUCCAACGCUGGAGUUGGAUGAGGUCUUUUGUCUUAAUUACUUUUCUGUUGCUGUGAUAGAAACACUAACCAAAGCAACUUAUAGAAGGAAGAGUUUAUUUGAGCUUA